CCUACGGGAGGCAGCAGUGGGGAAUAUUGGGCAAUGGAGGCAACUCUGACCCAGCAAUGCCGCGUGAGUGAUGAAGGUAAUUUUAUUGUAAAGCUCUUUUCUUUGGAACGAAUAAAUGACGGUACCAAAGGAAUAAGCCCCGGCUAACUACGUGACAGCAGCCGCGGUAAUACGUAGGGGGCAAGCGUUGUUCGGAAUGACUGGGCGUAAAGGGUGGGUAGGUGGUUUGAUAAGUUAGAUGUGUAAUACCCAGGGCUUAACUCGGGUGCUGCAUCUAAAACUGUUAGACUUGAGAACUGGAGAGGAUAGUGGAAUUCCUAGUGUAGCGGUGGAAUGCGUAGAGAUUAGGAGGAACAUCAGUGGCGAAGGCGACUAUCUGGACAGCAACUGACACUGAGGCACGAAAGCGUGGGGAGCAAACAGGAUUAGAUACCCCGGUAGUC
Molecule: ribosomal RNA, 443 nt
Filed under: uncultured bacterium
Lineage: Bacteria
Description: partial 16S ribosomal RNA
Rfam family: Bacterial small subunit ribosomal RNA
Source: RNAcentral